AAUCAACGCUGGCGGCGUGCCUCAGACAUGCAAGUCGAACGAUUAAAGCUCUCUUCGGAGAGUGCAUAAAGUGGCGCACGGGUGAGUAACACGUAAGUAAUCUACCUUUGAGUGGGGAAUAACAGUCGGAAACGGCUGCUAAUACCGCAUAAUGCAGUGGCACCGCAAGGUGACAGUUGUUAAAGGAGCAAUCCGCUUAAAGAGGAGCUUGCGGCAGAUUAGCUAGUUGGUAAGGUAAUGGCUUACCAAGGCUACGAUCUGUAACCGGUCUUAGAGGACGGUCGGUCACACUGACACUGAAUAACGGGUCAGACUCCUACGGGAGGCAGCAGUCGGGAAUUUUGGGCAAUGGGCGAAAGCCUGACCCAGCAACGCCGCGUGAAGGAUGAAGUAUUUCGGUAUGUAAACUUCGAAAGAAUAGGAAGAAUUAAUGACGGUACUAUUUAUAAGGUCCGGCUAACUACGUG
This 467-nucleotide ribosomal RNA is filed under the name uncultured bacterium. Its description in RNAcentral is "bacterial SSU rRNA". It matches the Rfam family "Bacterial small subunit ribosomal RNA", at positions 32 to 507 of the family's 1533-position model. The record is from RNAcentral.